AGUUAGAUAGCAAAGUGGUUAUGCGUAGGAUUGCAAAUCUUUUAUAAUAAAAAUACAUCGGUUCGAAUCCGAUUCUAGCUU
Molecule: transfer RNA, 81 nt
Filed under: Thorea hispida
Lineage: Eukaryota; Rhodophyta; Florideophyceae; Thoreales; Thoreaceae
Also listed under: 1 other name
Description: tRNA-Cys
Rfam family: tRNA
About the family: Transfer RNA (tRNA) molecules are approximately 80 nucleotides in length. Their secondary structure includes four short double-helical elements and three loops (D, anti-codon, and T loops).
Source: RNAcentral